UGUUGCGGUUAAAGCUCGUAGUUGGAUCUGUGUCCCGCGCCGCCGGUUCACCGCCUGUCGGUGUUAAACUGGCGUGUAUGCGGGACGUCCUGUCGGUGGUGGUCCGGGGUUUCGUCGACCGUAGGGGACUCCACGUUUUACGGCGGUGGCCCUGAAGGCCGGCGCAUUCUUCCGGCCGCCUUGUCAAUCCCGUCGCGGUGCUCUUCACCGAGUGUCGAGGCGGGCCGGCACGUUUACUUUGAACAAAUUAGAGUGCUUUAAGCAGGCUCUUUCCCGCCUGUAUACUGUGUGCAUGGAAUAAUGGAAUAGGACCUCGGUUCUAUUUUGUUGGUUUUCGGAAUCUGAGGUAAUGAUCAAUGGGGACAGGCGGGGGCAUUCGUAUUGCGACGUUAGAGGUGAAAUUCUUGGAUCGUCGCAAGACGGACCGAAGCGAAAGCAUUUGCCAAGUAUGUUCUCGUCGAUCAAGAACGAAAGUUAGAGGUUCGAAGGCGAUCAGAUACCGCCCUAGUUCUAACCAUAAACUAUGCCUGCCAGCGAUCCGCCGGCGUUCCUCCGAUGACCCGGCGGGCAGCUUCCGGGAAACCAGAGCUUUUGGGUUCCGGGGGAAGUAUGGUUGCAAAGCUGAAACUUAAAGGAAUUGACGGAAGGGCACCACCAGGAGUGGAGCCUGCGGCUUAAUUUGACUCAACACGGGAAAACUCACCAGGCCCGGACACCGGAAGGAUUGACAGAUUGAGAGCUCUUUCUUGAUUCGGUGGGUGGUGGUGCAUGGCCGUUCUUAGUUGGUGGAGCGAUUUGUCUGGUUAAUUCCGAUAACGAACGAGACUCUAGCCUACUAACUAGACGCAUCCGGUAUCCACAAUCGUGCUACCGGCGAGCAAAUUGCUUCUUAGAGGGACAGGCGGCUUCUAGCCGCACGAGACUGAGCAAUAACAGGUCUGUGAUGCCCUUAGAUGUCCUGGGCCGCACGCGCGCUACACUGAAGGAAUCAGCGUGUUUUCCCUGUCCGAAAGGACCGGGUAACCCGCUGAACCUCCUUCGUGCUAGGGAUUGGGGCUUGCAAUUGUUCCCCAUGAACGAGGAAUUCCCAGUAAGCGCGAGUCAUAAGCUCGCGUUGAUUACGUCCCUGCCCUUUGUACACACCGCCCGUCGCUACUACCGAUUGAAUGAUUUAGUGAGGUCUUCGGACUGGUACGCGGAUGUUGCUUCGGCAGCUUACGAUGUUGUCGGAAAGAUGACCAAACUUGAUCAUUAGAGA
RNAcentral lists this ribosomal RNA (1258 nucleotides) under Borysthenes sp. PCC-2008. RNAcentral's name for it is "SSU rRNA". It matches the Rfam family "Eukaryotic small subunit ribosomal RNA", at positions 611 to 1779 of the family's 1831-position model. The record is from RNAcentral. Lineage: Eukaryota; Metazoa; Arthropoda; Insecta; Hemiptera; Borysthenidae.